Molecule: ribosomal RNA, 239 nt
Filed under: uncultured bacterium
Lineage: Bacteria
Description: partial small subunit ribosomal RNA
Rfam family: Bacterial small subunit ribosomal RNA
Source: RNAcentral
AGAGCGAACGCUGGCGGCAGGCUUAACACAUGCAAGUCGAGCGCUCGUAGCAAUACGAGAGCGGCAGACGGGAGAGUAACACGUGGGAACGUACCCUUUGGUUCGGAACAACACAGGGAAACUUGUGCUAAUACCGGAUAAGCCCUUACGGGGAAAGAUUUAUCGCCAAAGGAUCGGCCCGCGUCUGAUUAGCUAGUUGGUGGGGUAACGGCUCACCAAGGCGACGAUCAGUAGCUGGU